GACGAACGCUGGCGGCGUGCUUAACACAUGCAAGUCGAACGGAAAGGCCCUGCUUUUGUGGGGUGCUCGAGUGGCGAACGGGUGAGUAACACGUGAGUAACCUGCCCUUGACUUUGGGAUAACUUCAGGAAACUGGGGCUAAUACCGGAUAGGAGCUCCUGCUGCAUGGUGGGGGUUGGAAAGUUUCGGCGGUUGGGGAUGGACUCGCGGCUUAUCAGCUUGUUGGUGGGGUAGUGGCUUACCAAGGCUUUGACGGGUAGCCGGCCUGAGAGGGUGACCGGCCACAUUGGGACGGGGAUGCGGCACAGACUACUACGGGAGGCAGCGGUGGGGAAUAUUGCACAAUGGGAGGAAGCCUGAUGCAGCAACGCCGCGUGCGGGAUGACGGCCUUCGGGUUGUAAACCGCUUUCGCCUGUGACGAAGCGUGAGUGACGGUAAUGGGUAAAGAAGCACCGGCUAACUACGUG
This 468-nucleotide ribosomal RNA is filed under the name uncultured bacterium. RNAcentral describes it as "partial 16S ribosomal RNA". It matches the Rfam family "Bacterial small subunit ribosomal RNA", at positions 28 to 507 of the family's 1533-position model. The record is from RNAcentral.